Rattus norvegicus (Norway rat) is the source of this 15003-nucleotide non-coding RNA. The record is from RefSeq and is a predicted model, not a curated record. Lineage: Eukaryota; Metazoa; Chordata; Mammalia; Rodentia; Muridae.
GAAUCCGCACAACAUCUGUGACUCUGUAAUGGUCCCCACAACAACAGUGGCCAGGAAGCUUCAUCUUUUGGAUCACUGGGGACAGGGACAGAGGUGGCCGGUUAGUGCAGCUCAUAAAUAACCUUUCCAGCACAUCCUGAUUGAAGGUGGAGUUGGUUCGUCUGGACAGAAGCCUGUCAGCUUGACUGGCAGCCGCAAGCGGAUGGCCUGGCUCUUGGGCUCCUCCUGGCCGAACCUUUGGUCCUUAUUGUGGUCAACAUCCAGGAAAAAAGAAAAAGAGUAAGGCCAGCAGUGGCGGCCCAGCACUCAGGGGCAGAGGCAGUAGAUCUCUUGAGUUUGAGGCCAGCUUGGUCUACAGAGUGAGUUCCAGGACAAGUAGAGCUACAUAGAGAAACCUAGUCUCAAAAGAAAAAAGUGAAACUAGGAAAGAAGGCAAACUUGCCAUCUUUGUCUGCCACUUGUGGCUGUCCCUGGUGGCCAACAGGUGACCGUGUGUAUACCGGCUCACAAAGGAUAAUUGAACUCCCAGCUCACUCCUCCAAAGUAAGGACUAUUAUCGUCCCAUUUUAUAGAUAGGGAAACUGGGGCUCGGGAUGAUAUGACUGGUCCAGAACACACACACACACACACACACACACACACACACACACACACAAACACACACACACACACACACACACACACACACACACACCACAUCGAGACAGAGACAGACAGAUAGGCAGGCAGGCAGGCAGAGGCAGAGACAGAGACAGAGAUCCAGGAAGGCAUACACACAGGUUAUGGAGAGAAGAAAGGAGGGGGUCACAGGGGCAGGGGAAAUCUCAGGGUUCCCAUGACCUUGUCAGGUCCACAGUUUUCUGUCCUUUGGGAAAUGGGGGUGUGGGAGCUCACACACCAUUCCCGAACUUUGCUGCAAGUCCAAAGAGAGUUCAUUCCAGCCAGUGCCCACGUAGCCCGGCCGCAGAGUGACUAACGGUGGAUGUGGAGCAAGCCUUCGGCUAAUUCUGUGGCUGAAGCCAGCCUGGGUGUGGGCCCUGCCCAGUCCCCCUCUGCCUUGGGUCCUUCUGGCCCUUGGUGACGCAGCUGUGGUGGAGUUUGGCAACUCCAGUUGCCCACAGUUAUGACAGCUGGGGGUGGGGUAGUUGGGCCAGUCCCAGUCUCUGCCAGAGACCCUUUCUGACAGCCUAGCAAGCAUGGGAUACCCCUCCCUCUCUGUGCCUUCCCUGACAGUGGUUGUUUUUAAGGACUAGAAACUCAGGGCUUUGGGCAGGACUCUGCCUGUCACUUUGUUACCAACCAUUCUGAGGAGAACCAGAUGGCACCUGCUUUUUUUUCUUUUUUUUUUUUUUUAAAGACAGGGUGUUACUAUGUAGCUCAGGCUAACUUUACUAUGUAGCCUAGGUUGGCCUCAAAGUUCUUCUGGCAAUGCUUCUGCCUCAGUCUCUCCAGUGCUGGGAUUACACACCUGAGUCAUCAAACAGGACAGCUGUCUCUUAGUACCAAAAAAGGAAAAGGUAAAACUGAACAGUUCCUGGGAGGGGUUGUGUACACCUGUAAUCCCAACAUGGAGGAUCAGGAGUUCAAGGCUUCAUGAGAUCCUCUCUAAUAAGUAGGAAAGAAAGAAAUGGAACAAAGUAAUAGUAGCGAUGUAUUCCCCCUCCAAAUAACUGCUAAACUCCUACUGUGUGCUGGGGACUACUCAUAGCCCCAGGGGUUCCACAGUGUACAGAACAGACUCCCCCUGUUCUUAGAACGGUGUAGAUUAAGCAAUAGCCCAGCUGUGGAUGGUGCAGAGAGGGGCAGGGGUAACCCCCACAGGACAGGCGAGCACCAGCUCAGGUACAGAGCUCUGGGGCUAAGUCUCCAGGGAAGGAGACCUUCGACUUGAGCAGGACACUCCUUAUGAAAGCGGAAACCCUCAAGGCUCUGAGCAAGUGCCUGGUCAGGAAGGUCCCUGAGGAAGUGACGUAUGCGUGCUGACUGGGAAGGGGGCAGAUCUGUAGGCCACUAGAGGAAGAACCUUCCCAGAAGGGGCAAAGCUGGGGCAGAGGCAGGAAGACAGUCGCCACUCCUGGGAGCGGGUGGCCAGUGGGAACGCCCCUUGGCCUUGGGUUUCUCCUCUUCGAAGAGGGAGCAAGGGCCUUCCAGGCAGGCAUCAGGAAAUAUCUCGGAAGCUGCUGGGAUCCCCCAGGGCCAUGCACCUUUCCCCUGGCCGCCAGGGCCCCAGCUGCCCCAGUCUGACCAAAUGGCAGGUGCGUGGGAAUGGUGCGCCUGUGGCUCACUGCUUUCCAAGGAACCCCAUUUCCCCGUGUUGGGGGGAUGGAGCUGAUGUUCCUCUCUCCUCAUGGUGGUCAGCCUCUCUGAAGCCCCAUGCUUCUCUGCAGUGGAAGAGGAUGGUGUGGGUGGAGCAGACCCGGCUCUCUCAGGAGGAAAUGCUGCUCUGUCUCCUUUACAAAAGGAGGAACUGAGGCCACAGCGAGGCGGGUUCUGGCUCUGGCCAGGCGCUCACGCAGAACUGGGCAUUGGGCCGAGCCCUUUGACCCCAGCUGCUUCGCCUGGUUCUCUCAGCAGACAAGGUAGGAAGCAGCCGCUGGGACCCAAGCUUUACAAGUGAGGAAGUAACUGGGGGCUAAGAGGAAAGGCAAGGCCAAGGCCAGGUCACAGGGGAAGCUGGGACAGCCAACUGCACUCCAGAUCCAGGGACACCAACCUGAAGCUGCUGGCUAUGCAGGCAGGAUGAAGAACACACACACACACACACACACACACACACACACACACACUUACACACAUACACACACACAUACACACUCACCCAUAUAUACAUAUACACACAUAUACAUAUAUACACUCACAUAUACAUAUAUACACACAUACACAUAGACACAUCCAUACAAACACUCAUAUACAUAUACACACACAUACACACUCACCCAUACAUAUACACACACUCACACACACAUAUACACACUGACAUACUCACACAAUAUAUGCACGCUCACAAACACACACAUAUACACACAUACACACUCACCCACACAUACACACACAUACACAUAUACACACCCACCCAUACAAAUGCACUUAUACAUAUACACACACAACUCACACACAUACUCACACACACAACUCACACACACACACACACACACACACACACACACACACAGGGGUAGAUGAGGUAAACAAGGCCUUUCGAAGUCAAGGGCUGUGAUACAAGCAAUUGCAGGAGUUGGGGGCUAAGAAAGGUGUUUCCUGUGUUUUGUUUUGUGGUGGUGCAGAUUUUGGGGUGUUUUGUUUUGUUUUGAGACAGGGCCCCUUGUAGCUCAGGCUGACCUAAAAUUCACUAUGUAGCUGACCAUGAUUUUGAACUGUGUUUUUUGUUUUUGUUUUUGUUUUUGUUUUUUGAGACAAGGUUUCUCUCUGUGGUGCCAGACAUCCUGGAUCGUUCUCUCUCUGUAGACCAGGCUGACCUUGAACUCGGAGAUUUCGCCUGCCCACCACCAGCAGGUUUAUUUUCUCUUGCCUCGACUUCCUGAGUGCUGGGACCCAGGCACGAGCCACCACACCUGCGUUACCAGGUGCCUUUUGGUUAUGUAACCGUAAAUAACCCAAGGUAGCCUUGAACUCCUAGCACUCAUCCUGCUUCAGCCUCCAGAGUGCUGGGAUACCGAGGUGUCGGCCAGCAUUCCCAGCUAAGUUGCACGUUUUUCUACCUGGAUAGUCCAAGGAAGCUGGGGAAAGCCUCACUCUCCACCCAUCCCGGAGCUUGUUGGAUCAUUCAUUCAUUCAUUCAUUUGAACACUUAACUGGCAUGACAUAAGACUAACUUUAAAUGUAAAUAGAUUGGGGUUGGGGAUUUAGCUCAGUGGUAGAGCGGUUGCCUAGCAAGCGCAAGGCCCUGGGUUCGGUCCCCAGCUCCGAAAAAAAAGAAAAGGAAAAAAAAUGUAAAUAGAUUAACUCAACAAGACCUGCCUCAAAAAGGAAGGAAGUCGCUGGGUGUGAUGGCCACACCUGUAAUUCCGGCACCUGUAAGGCAGAGGCAGGUGGAUCUCUGGGAGUUUAAGCCCAGCCUGGUCUACAGGGCUGGGGUGGAGCUCACUAGGGAAUGCUUCCAUAGCGUGCACAGUCUCUGCUUUUGACUCCUGCUCCCCAUGCACAACCAUAGUACAAACAGUAACCUCUUUUGUUGGGCAAAUAUUUAUGGAGUGCUUAAUCUGUUAAAAGAUGCUGUUUUAGACGCUAAUGAGAGUCAAUAAAAAGAAAAUCUAGUGGGGAUGGAACCUUGAGGGGCUGGGAGGGACCAGGGAGAGAAACACGAAGGUGCAGGUGUGGAAGGUGACGACAGGGUCUAGAGGGAGGCACUGGGAGAGGCCACCGUGAUUGAGGAACAGCCUUGUGGGGGAAGGGCGGGAAAGGUCUGUCAGCUGGGCCACCCUGGAGCAUAAACAGGACACUCACCCUGUGGAUGUGCUGCCUCUCCAACAAAGCCAGCUGGGGUGGGCUGGAGAUGGGGGCUUCCUCCAGCUGCCUGGGCCACCCAGGGCACAGACUAUGCCUCCUCCUGGGAAGAAUGCUGUGUGAGUCACUGGCUCAGGCUCAGGCUCUGCCUUACCAGUUCUUUUAAGUCCUGGUCGCAUGUUAGUUUCCUCCCAUUUUACAGAAGUGAAAACUGAGGAUUAGACGUACAGUAAGCAGUGUGCCAGCCACACAGCCAGCCAAUGGCAGGGCAGGAGUUUAACGUUCUUGUAUUGGUUAUCACCAGGAUACCUGCUUGGCAUCACAUGGCCUCUUAGGGGCUGGAGGUGGACAGGCCUUUGCCAGCUGUGUGUUCCCUUCCCCUCCUAAGGCCAUUGUUUCUUAUCUGGGAAACAGCAUGCUAGGUCAGUAUCAGGACCCGCUGUUUGGGUAACAACUCCCUAAAUGCUAUGUGGACACAACUCCUCAAUUCAUCCUCACAACGACUCUGUUUAACAGAGAAGAAAACUGAGGCACAGAGAAGCAGUGCUCAUGGCCUUGAGGCCUCCCAGGGGUUUGAGGUCAGCUCAUUGGAUUGUUGGAUGGUAAAUCCCCAGACUGCAGAAAUCUGAGGUGAGGAGUCUGGGGUAGAGGUGGGGACAGAGACAGGCAGUUGAAUCGGGCAAGAGCGAAUCAAACCCAGGAUGUGGGACCCGGCCCCUGCCUUCUGGAUAGAGGCCUAGUUCCUGAGUGACAGGACCAUGAAAUCCCUGUGUAUCCCCUCAGGCUUCGCCUGGGCCCUGCCCAAACAAACAGGAAAUGCCAAGUGGUCCCCCACCCCCACCAGGGCCGUGGGAAGGCUCUGGAAGAAGUUUGAGUCAGGACUCCUGCUCUGGGCCAGCUUCUGCUGAGCCAGGGCCCAGGAGGGCUGCCUGACCUCAGGCAGGGCCUGCCCUUCCUGGCCCCUGUCUCCUCACCACUUGUCGAAACACUGGCGAACAAGCCCCACUACCCAGGGCUGUGUGAGCUGGGGCAGUGGCGGUGGCCCUCUAAGCCCAGCCUUCUCUUUCAUGUUUCUUCCACUGAGCUGCUUGUGACCUUAGUGAAGAAGGGGAGGGGAAGGCUGGGCUCUGAGAAGUCAGUGGUCAGGGGGCAGAGGACGGCUGAGAGUUAGAAAGCUUGCUCAGCAAGUAAGAGGUGCUCGGUUCGAGCUCCACAUUUCCCCCCCUCCCCCUCUCCUCCCACACCCCCUUCCCUCCCACACGCACUCAAAUUCCAGGACCUCUGCAAAUGGUUUCAAAUUCUUCCCUGGGCCGCUCUUCUCCUCUCACGCCUCAGUUUCCCCUCAGUAAAGGAGGUCAACCUGCGACUGAUUUAUUGCUGGACCUCACUGGCUGGCUGCAAUGGCGAUGCAGGGUAGCGGGGGGUGGCAUGGUGGGAGGACACAGACUUCGGAUCUCCUGGGCGGGGGCCCACAGAGGUGGAAGAUAGAAAGCUCACCUCCCACACACAAUGAAUUCAAGGCCAACGUGGGCAGCAUGAGAGCCUGUUUCAAAACAAACAAAAGACGCCCCUCCCCACAACCAGGGAAACCCCUUAGAGGUUCUAAAAGUGAAGCGAGGCCAGUCGCUGGUCCCACAGAGAGAAACUGUGGCAUGGGCUGUGGCCACACUUUACUGAGGGAAAUGGAACACCAAGCUCAUACACAGAGGACAGACCCGCCAGGGCCAUGGCUCUGUCACCAAACAUCUGUUAUCUGGUCUUGGGGGCGUGGGUUCCUCCCAUAGUGGGCGACUGUGCAGAUCCCAGAAGGCUGAUCUGUCCACCCACUCAAGGUUCUUCCUCUUUCACCAUCGAAUAUUUCAAGGGAGGGCCUGGCACACAGUAGGUGCACAGUGGGCAUCAGUCAUUGCCCUGUCCCGAGGUCCCUGCUGCUGUGACCCUAGGCUCUGUAGCUUUGUUCUGCCCACCCUUGCAGACCAUUUUAGGUGCCAGCACCCACUGCCCUGAGCUCCGGGUCCUGUCCUGCCUCCCACACAGACCCACAUGUCAGGAGCUGGGGACAGAGCUGGGGCCUUAUUAGUUACACUGGGCCUAGAGCUUUGAGAACUCUGGCUUUGUGGAUCGGGUAGGAGCCAGAGUGGGCUCUGAGCGGAGGAGAGAUGUGGUCUGACUUAGCUUUUCUACUCGAUGUACACUGGAGGGCACAGAGGGAGGGCCAGGAGGAUGGGGGAGGGGAGCUACCACAAUAUCCCAGCUGUCAGGAGGGCACUUGGCCACUUCCAUUCUCCUGGGAUUGUAGCGCUGGGGACUGAUCCCAGGGCCCCAAGCUAUUACCAACAAGUUAUAGUCCCUGCCUACCCUUUUUCCUUCCUCCUUCCUGUCUUUUUAGGUUUAUUUUGUCUGUUUUUUUUUUCCCCCCAAGACAGAGUUCUCUGUGUAGCCCUGGCUGUCCUAGAACUUGCUCUAUAGACCAGGCUGGCCUUGAACUCACAGAAGUCCUUCUGCCUCUGCCUCCUUAGUGCUGGGAUUAAAGGUAUGCACCACCACCGCCUGACAGGUUUUAUUUUAAAACCAGGCCUUUCCUCUCCCCCCCAACUCCCUUCUCUCUCUUCCUCUCCCUCUCUUUCUCUCUCUCCUCUUUUCUUUCUUAUUUUGUUUUUGUUGUUAUUUUCUGAGACAGAAUCUAUGUAGCCCAGCCUGGAACUUACUCUAUAGACCAGGCUAGAUUUGAACUCAGAAAUCCAACUGCCUCUGCCUCCCGAGGGCUGAGAUGAAAGGCCUCUCCCACCAUGGCCAGUCAUUUCCUUUAUUUUUUUCUUGAGACAAAAUCUUGCUAAUCAGCCUCAACAGACCUGGUACUGUGGAGUCCACGCUGGCCUCAAACCUUUGGCAAUCCUCCUGCUUCUGCCCCCAGCCUACACAUACAGAGAUGCUACCAUACCUGGCUUAGAGGUAGGACUUCAAAAAAAAGCUACCCAGGAUGCUCUGAAACCUUCCAGGCUACUUCCGCCCCCACCAGUAGCUGGGAUCACAGGCCUGUGUUCACAUCACAGGCCUCAGCUCUCUCCAUCAUGCCUAACGGAAAGGAGGAGGGGCCCCAAGUUCUGUUGAGACACCCCAGGGUUCCCGGAGUCCCCAGGCUGAGGCACAGGCACACCAGAGUCAGGCCCAGAGAGUUCUCACCUCCACUCUGAGGGGAUGAGAAGGAUCUUCCCUCAGUCCCUGCCUGUUGUGGGUACCACAUCCCUAAGCCUCACUGUGAGGACCCAGCCUUUCCACCUAGUCAGGGCCGGGUCAGUGCUGUUACCAACAAUUAAUGAACUGCAAUUGGAAAUCAUAAUGAGAAGAUUCUGCAGCCUGAGGCCUCUAGAGAGGGUGGAUAGCACCUCCCCUUCUUCCAGCAGAGGACAGGGGUGUGGGGGAGGGGUGUCACUGCCUGAGGUCACAAAGUAAUAGGGCUGUGUUCCAAUACCCCCUCACCACCUCUGUUCCAGAAACAGGCUGUCCAGGGGCUGCCGAAAUCCAGAUUUGUAAGACAAGCCGGGAACCAGAGGCCUCAUAGGUUCAGAGACCUACCCUUACACAGAGAGAGCCUCCUGACAGAAAAAGGCUUUCCUGGGUCCCCCUUACAUCCCUCCCACAAGCUGGGGGCUUUGGGCCCCUGCAGGAAGUGGCCUGGGCUGGGACAGGCCUGCUGCUUUGAUCAGUUUUACGAGAGCCUUGGCUGUUUACGGAGCGCCCGGCCCCCACCCUGCCACCCAGGGCUGUGUCCUGUCAGUGGCACUCAGAGAUAUUAGCUGUCCCUGGAGAGUCCGCUGCUGGGCCUCAGCCCCAUUUCCUCCAGCUUGGCCCUUGGCCUUGGCUCCUGGGAACAGAGCAGCCCCUCAGGCAGAUGCUAGGGUUGGGGGUGGGUCCUGAAACUGAGUGUAUGUCCACUUCUGUCUUGACCCGUGUUACCCUGGCUGGCCCAGGACCACCUCCAGUGCUCCCCACCACUCUGUACAGGGUGCUCUAUCCUCCUCCUGGAGCAGAGUAGCCCUCUCUGCCCCAUCUGACGACCAACGUCAAUCCGUCUCAGGUCUCGUUCUUUUUCUUCACCCCCAGGCUGAAGACUCUCGGGAUUUGUGUCUGCCUGUGUCUCUCCUUCCUUCUUCCUCAGUCCAGGGACCUCACGCCCCCAGUACCAGCCCCAGCUCCUAGUUGACACACAGUAGGUACUCAACAAAUGCUUCUUGAGUGCAAAAUAAAACCUUAGUCUGGGUGUGAUGGAACAAGACUGUGGUCCCAGCACCCAGGAGGCUGAGGCAGGAGGACCAGAAGUUCAAGGUGCUCUCAGAACAUCGUGAAUUCGAGGCCAGCCUAGAGAGGCUACGUGACACCCCGUUUUAUCCCCCUCCAGAGAGGUGGGGGAGAAUGCAGAUCUGGAGACAGACCUGUAGGAAACUAAAAGCACUAUCAUACCCCCACCCCGGCCACAUGCGUGUGCCUGGAAAACCUACCAGGGUGUGGCCUCUGCUCACUCACUAGGCCUGCCUGCAGCUCCCUUAUGGAUGAGGGAACAGGAUACGGAGGUGACAGAAUAUUCAGGGGACCAGACUUCCCUAGGCCCUGCCCCCAAUCCCACUCCUAACUUCCAGCCCCACCCCCAGCUACACCUGUGUUGGCUCUGGACAAGAAGCUACCCGUGCAGGUGUCUGACAAGCUGGGCCGGUUCUGGGGCAUUCACAGGAGGGCACUUCCCUAGGGGCGAUGCUGGGAGAUGCCUGUGGACACCUGCCGGCACCUGUCCGGCAUCUGUCCCACCUCUCCUCCCCCCAGCUGUCCAGGCAGGUCCUGUGGUCUCCUCCCAAGUCCUCCACACCCACAGGGCACCAUGGCAGGUUGUUCUCCGAGACACUCACCCCUCAUCUCUGUGACCUGGGCAGGUGCAGCGACAGCUUGGGGUGGAUGCACAGGUGGCAGCUGGCCUGCCUGCUCCCUGAAGAAGCCACUAGCAGAAGCUUCACAUCCCAGCCAUCUGGAACCCUUCAAUUCUGGGGGCGUGUGUGUGUGUGUGUGUGUGUGUGUGUGAGAGAGAGAGAGAGAGAGAGAGAGAGAGAGAGAGAGAGAGAGAGAGAGCGCUGCAAGGACAGGGUCUUCUGCUUGCCAGCAACACAGUAGUCUCCGAUUGUGGCGGUGGAAGUUCACAAACAGAAGAGUCAGGGCACCUGCCCAAGUUCACACAGCAAUCAGAAUUUGAACCCAAGACCGCAUGUCUUUCCCGUCCCUCCACCUUGUCUAGCAGUUUUGCUGAAGCCUACCGUAUAUGGACUGACAUUUAGCUAUGCGUGUCCAAGUGCAUUCGAUAGAUAGGGAUUUGUGGAGCCAUGACCAAGGCCAACCUGAUGUUCGUCUGGGGGACAGAGAAUCUGGCAGCAAAGUAACAGUGAUGUCAGCUCAGAUGUAAAAAGACCACGGGGGUCGGGGUGGGGCACAUGCUGUGAGGAGUAAGAUCCACGCUGAGAGGAAGAGCGGGCAGGAGAGGAAAAAGGGAGGCUGAGGAGAAGCAUCCACAGGGCAGCCUCUGUUUCCCCGUCAGCAUGUUGAUAACCUCGAGGCUUCCCAUCUCUCAAGAUGCCUGGCAUUCAGAAGGCGUGGGAUGCCCAGGUUAGUCUUAAUAGAUGUGAAGCCAGAAGGUUUGUCCACCUCAGAGGUUUCUGGGAGUCCCUGGACAGUUCAGCACAGCAUGGACUCUGGAGCAGACCCAGGAAGCCUGAAGGAUUCUGGGGUAAUGGCUGCUUUGGGACCCUGUAAGGGUGGAUGGAGGGCAAGAGGCAUCACCUCAGGAGCUUCAGCCCUAAGUCAGUUGCUGUCCACCCAAAGAGAUCUGAGAGGAUUCAGUGUCCCAGGACCCAAAGACCCCCAUCCCAUGGAUGAGGACUUGGAGGUUCAGAGAAAGCCCAGGAUCACACAGCUAGAAGGACCAGAACUGGACACAAUUCAAUCACCUUAAAGCUCACUACCCCCAAACAACCAUGUAGGAUGGAUACCAGAGUGGUCUUGCAGUGUACCCAUUGCACGGAUGAGUAAACUGGGGCUUGAGCCAAAGCAACUUCUCAGGAUGAUUGUAAUUUAUAUAAAUAUUUAUGGAGCACCUACUGUGUGCCAGGUAAAACUAGACACAGAGACACAAACCAGUAAGACAGCGUAUGUGAAUGCCUGCCCAGCAGUCCAUAGAUUCCUGACGACACAGGCUGAGGAAGGAAAAUCAGAAGUUCAAGGGCUGGUAACUUUGUGAGACUCUCUCAAAAUAAAAAGUAAAAACGGGUGCAGGGGUGCAGGGGUGCAGGGGUGCAGGGGUGCAGGGGUAUAGCUCAGUGAUAGAGUGUUUAGUCUCUGGGCUUGAUCACAGGAUGAUACACGACUUUAAUCCCAGCACUUGAGAGGCAGAAGCAGGAGGAUAUCUGAGUUCAAGUCCAGCCUGGUCUACAGAGGGAAUUCCAGGAUAUCGCAAAAAAGACUUUUUUUGGGAGGCGUGGGAGUGUUUAUUUCAUCUACGGCUUAAAAUCGUCAUCCAGGGAAGUCAGGGCAAAGCACUUGAAGUAGGAAACUGGAGGCAGGAGCUGAUGCAGAAAUCAUGUUUUGUUACUGGUUUGCUCCUCGAGGCUUUCUCAGUCUGGUUUCUUAUGCCAUCCAGGGCCACCUGCCGAGGGGUGGCAUCACCCACAGUGUGUCGGACGCUCUCACAUCAAACGGUUAAUUAGGAAGAUGCCCUAGACCAGACUUGGGGACAUUUCCUCAACUAAUGUUUCCCAGAGGACAUUUGCCCGUGUCAAGCUGACAAAGAAUUAACCGGGACACAGUCUAUAAUGGCAUUUUCUUUUUCUUUCUUUUUUUUUUUUUAACAUUUUUUAUUGGAUUUUUUUAAAUUUACAUUUUAAAUGUUAUCACCUUUCCUGGUUUCCCACAAAUAAAUCCCCCUCCGCCUUCUUCUAUGAAUGUGUUCCCCCAACCCUUCCCGCCUCCCCACCCUGACAUUCCCCUACAUUGCCUUAGCAGGACCAAGGGCUUCCCCUUCCAUUGGUGCCCCAACAAGGCCGUCCUCUGCUCCAUAUGCAGCUGGGUCCAUGGGUCUGUCCAUGUGUACUCUUUGGAUGGUGGUUUAGUCCCUGGGAGCUCUGGUUGGUUGGUAUUGUUCUUAUGGGGUUGCAAACCCCUUCAGCUCCUUCAAUUCUUUCUCUAAUUCCUCCAAUGGGGACCCCAUUCUCAGUUCAAUGGUUGUCUGCUAGCAUUCACCUCUGUAUUUGUCAGGCUCUGGCAAAGCCUCUCAGGAGACAGUUCUAUCAGUCUCCUGUCAGCAUGCACUUCUUGGCAUCAGCGAUAUUAUCUAGUUUAGUGGCUGUAUGUAUAUGAGCUGAAUCCCCAAAAUCUCAAAAUUUAAUUAGUAAAUUAAUUAAACAAGGGCUAGGGAGAUGGCUAAGUGGGUCAAGUGUCUAAGUGACAAGCAUGAGGACCAGAGUUCAAAUCCCCAGCACCCACUGAAGGAGGAAAAGCUGACCCAGCCUGUAACCCCAGGACUCAGAGGGCUGGCACAGACGAGGAUUCCCGAGGAGGCUGACAAGGUAACCAGGCGAAGGUGAACUCUAGGUUCAGCCGGAGAGAGCCCUGCUUCAAUAUAUAAGUGGAAGUGACCAAGGAAGAAACCUGAUGUCAACCUCUGGUCUCACACACUGCAAGCAUACAUGCACACACAUGUACACACAUGAACACACACAUGCACACCACACAUGCAUAAAAUAAAGUGAAAUAAGAAGGCAAAGUUUUCCAAAUAAGUUUGUGUUCAAGUCCUGAUUACCACUUGCUAGCUGUGUGGUCUUGGGCAAAUUCCUAAACCUCUCUGUGCGAAGUUUCUUUGUUCAUAAAGUGACUUUCCCUCAUGAAGGUAAGCCAGGAUCUGUGCAACUCAUGUUUUAUGCUUUUUUUAAAAUUUUAUUUUACAAUUAUUGUUUUUUGAGAUGACAAAGGGUCUUACUCUGCAGCUGAGGCUGAUCUAGAACUCAAAGCUCUCCUCCUGCCUCAGCUUCCUGAGGCACACUUGAACCAUCACACCUGGCUUAUUUUACAAAUCCAUUUUAUUUAUGAAUUUAUUAAUUUAUUAUCUUUUUGAGACAGAGUCUUUCUCCAUAGUCCUGGCUGACCUGAAAGCUGGAGCCUGCUCCCUGGACCAGGCUGACUUUGAACUAACAGAAAAAUCUUCCUGCCUCUGCCUCUCAAGUGUUAGGCUUAAAGGCGUACCCCACUGUGCCCGGCUUGUUUGCAAAUUUUGAUGGUGUGUCAACAGUAUUCCAGCCUGUGCCUUGGGAACUGGGUGUACAGACAGGAGCAAGGUGUGUCAUCACCACCAAUGUGGAGCUAGCUUCUUCCGGAGCCCCCUCUUCCUGGUCACAUUCUGGAACUUUCAGGUGGGCACAGACACCUGCUGCGACAGGUACCAGCCUCCGCUGGCCUGGGGCUGACACCCACUAGGCUGGCAGAGGCUUCUCGAAGAAAGGCUUUCAGCCAUUAAGGUCCUGGUGGUGCCGUAGGUUGGGCGAGAUGAGUUUCCCAUGCAGCUGGUCCUGUCCUGCCCCACUCUCCUACAGCCCCUCCUUGCUCUACUCGUGCACCUCCCCAGGUGUGGCCCAGAGGACACUGCACUCAGGGCACUGGGGACUUCUCCAAGCUGCCCAGAGAUCCCAUGGCUCUGACAGCCCACAGGCAGGGACCACACCCCUGGCAACCUAAGGCCAAGCCAUAGCCCCUGAGGGACGAGGGUGAGGAAUGGACCCCUCUGACCCCGAUGAGGCUUGAACUAUCUAAAUGUCAUAGCCCACAAGCUUCCCAACCCUACUCAGACUGUCUGGUUUCCAUGGCAACAGCCACUUCCUUGUUGCCCCACCCUUCUGUCGUCGUGGAGCACCUGCAGGCCCUGGAGUACCUGACUACCGAAUGCAGGGGAAGGGAUAGCAGCUGCUGGCCUCACAAGAGGAAGCAUCCUGAGGCCCUGGAUUUUCAGAUGGAAAUGAGAAGCCAGAGCCGAUGCCAAAUGUCCCUGUGUGACAUGAGCCAGGUGCUUGGCAUUUGUCACACCUGCAUCCCUCACACAGGCGAAGAGACAGGACCACCUGCCAGGCCAGCAGGACCAACUGGAAUGAGGCUGCGGCUGCGUGGCCUCAGGGACCACAGGUGCCCACAUGGGGUGGGGAAGGGGUGUGCACGGACAGCUCUGCAACAACUGUUCUUGCUCUUUUAAGAUGGGGGUGACCUCAAACUCACUAUAAUCCUCCUGCCUCAGCUUCUCAACUACUGGAAUUACAGAAGUGCACCACCACAUCCAACUAUACCAUAAUCUUUUUUUUCCCCCUGUGGCGUAGUUGACCCCGAACUUGCAGCUCGCCAGUUCUCUGCUAAUAGGUGUGCAGCACCCGCACAAUCAGCUUCCUUAGCCCUGGGGAUCCCGGGGCUGUGCGCAUGCCCGCCCGGCCAACACUCUACCCACUGAUCACACCGCUAAGCCUCCCGCAGGCAGCCUAACCCUCCUGCAGCCAUUUGUCACUUCACAGCCAAGGAGUAGUCGGGGAUGAAUGGAUGUGCUGAACGGAAGACAGAAGGACUGAAUGGCGUCGGUCCUAGGCCUGGACAGCUGACCAGGUCAGGAAGGAAGCCGGAAGCCUGACCAACCAUGUGUCUAGGUCCAGCUCCGGCCUCUGCCUGUCCACACAUCCUCAGUGGUGAGCUGGCUGCUGGGGCUGAUUGAAAAGGCAAGCUGAUCCUGGAAAGCCUUUAACGUGUGGGAAACAUGCGGGCAACAUAUCUCCACUCCGUGUCCUGGCUGGCCCCUUAGUGGUCGGAUUCUGACUCGAGCCUUCCGGAUGUUCCCUGAACACAUCAGGCACAUUCCAGCCCCAGGGCCUUUGCACUUGCUGUUUUCGUUGUCUGGAAGCUUUUCCUGUCCCUCGGGUGUCUGCAGGGCUCCCUCCUCCUCCCUACUCCCUUCAGGGUUCUGCUCAAUGGUCUUGAGGCCUUCACUCACCGUGAGAAGCACCUGUCCCUCUUCCUUUGGCUCUCCACUUUGGAGGGUAAGAACAUUCUCUUCGGCUUCCAGACUGCCACCAGCUCCUGGGGACGGGACUUGUAUUCCUCUACAGCUGUGGUUAUGGGUGCUGAAGAGAUGGCUCAGUGGUUAAGAGCACGAACUGCUCUCCCAGAGGUCCUGAGUUCAAAUCCCAGCAAUCACGUGGUAGCUCACAAUCAUCUGUAAUGGCAUCUGAUGCCCUCUACUUAUGUGUCUGAGACAGCUACAGUGUACUCAUAUAUAAUAAAUAAAUCUUUGGGCUGGCAAGAUGGCUCAAUGGUUAAGAGAACUGACUGCUUUUCCAGAAGUUCUGAGUUCAAUUCCCAGCAACCACUUGAUGACUCACAACCAUCUGUAAUGGGAUCUGAUGUCACCUUCUGGUGUGUCUGAAGAGAGGGACAAUGUAUCCACAUACAUUAAAUAAAUAAAUAAAAUCUUAAAAAAAA